GCAUCAUGCAGGUCUUCUGGCCAGAGCCCCAGUGGGUGCCCAUGGAGGCCCUCAGCAUGCCCAGCGUGGCUUGAUCACCUGCCUGUCCAGCUCUGGUGGGCCAAGAACUCACCCAACAGAAUAGGCCAGAGAACACUUAAAAUCUACUCUUAGCAAUUUGCAAGCAUACAAUAUAAUUAUUUUCAAUAACUAUAGUUAUUAACUAUAGUCACCAGAUACAACAGACCUCUUGAGUUCAUUGCUCCUCUCUAACUGAAAUUUUGGGUACUAAUUGUCCAGUGAAAAAGACUCAAACACAGAUGCUAAAAGAAAUGGAGCUUUGAAUAAUCCACUGGUUUGGUUACUUUUUAUAAUAGCUGAUUUGUCAAUUAUCCCAUAACUAAGCCACUCAACUAAAUUCUAAGUUACCAAUAGAACUGAAGAAUUUGUAUAUCAAAAUCACAUACAGCAUGUAUAAACACAUGACCCCUUAGCUGUGAGUGUGCACAUGUGCCUUAAAGUGUAUCACUCUAACUUUUUUGGGUAUUUAUUCCAGAAUUAUCUGUUUUUAUGGUCUGAUUGCUUUUCCUGGACCCUUUCUAUUUGAUUUUUAAGGAAAAAAAAAAUACAGGGGAGGGAUGUUAAAAGAGAAAAAGUAAUUCAUUGAUUACCAAACAUACUGGGGAAUUCCCAUUGUUUAAAUGUAAAAACAAUAUACAGCUCACAGAAUGCCACAGUUCAGGGGAGGAAAAACUGAUAUGUGUUGAGAUUGAAAAUGAUUCCUUUAUAAAUGAAGUUGACCAAAAUUUCCAGCAGGACUGUUGCCUGAAGGAAAGUUCCUGGGCUCCAGCCUCUGUUAUGCCUAACAAUGAGCCAUACAAGUCUGGACAGAUGGUUGGAUUCCAAAGCGUUUCUCAUGUUACAGUAUUUUCUUCCUAUUGUCUCCUCUGAAUUCUACAGAGAAAAGGGAAAAUGCUGUGACUUUCAAAAAGUAUGAAGAAUGUCUUCAGUACAUUUCUGGGGAAUUGCAAGUACUAAACAUGAAUUACCUUGGAAAUCUCUUCUUCUUUUUAGAAAUGUUGUCUUGGCUAAAAUAUGGUUUCUUAUUGUGGAUGAUAUGAUUUAUCUAACUUACUUUUAUAUGUAGAAAUACAGAAUAGAUGCAUUUA
Long non-coding RNA from Homo sapiens (human), 1148 nucleotides. Lineage: Eukaryota; Metazoa; Chordata; Mammalia; Primates; Hominidae. The record is from Ensembl.